UGCAAUCUACCUUUCACAGAGGGAUAGCCCAGAGAAAUUUGGAUUAAUACCUCAUAGUAUGCAGAGUUGGCAUCAACUCUGCAUUAAAGUCACAACGGUGAAAGAUGAGCAUGCGUCCCAUUAGCUAGUUGGUAAGGUAACGGCUUACCAAGGCUACGAUGGGUAGGGGUCCUGAGAGGGAGAUCC
RNAcentral lists this ribosomal RNA (186 nucleotides) under uncultured Bacteroidota bacterium. RNAcentral describes it as "uncultured Bacteroidetes bacterium partial 16S ribosomal RNA". It matches the Rfam family "Bacterial small subunit ribosomal RNA", at positions 120 to 306 of the family's 1533-position model. The record is from RNAcentral. Lineage: Bacteria; Pseudomonadati; Bacteroidota.